UGCGGAGUAGAGCAGUCAGGUCAGCUUGUUGGGUUCAUAACCCAAAGGUCGAAGGUUCGAAUCCUUCCUCCGCUACCA
This 78-nucleotide transfer RNA is filed under the name Methyloprofundus sp. Its description in RNAcentral is "tRNA-Met". It matches the Rfam family "tRNA". Rfam says of the family: Transfer RNA (tRNA) molecules are approximately 80 nucleotides in length. Their secondary structure includes four short double-helical elements and three loops (D, anti-codon, and T loops). The record is from RNAcentral. Lineage: Bacteria; Pseudomonadati; Pseudomonadota; Gammaproteobacteria; Methylococcales; Methylococcaceae.